Long non-coding RNA from Hydractinia symbiolongicarpus, 1692 nucleotides. RefSeq lists it as uncharacterized. The record is from RefSeq and is a predicted model, not a curated record. The transcript has 5 exons. Lineage: Eukaryota; Metazoa; Cnidaria; Hydrozoa; Anthoathecata; Hydractiniidae.
AAAUUUUAUUUCGUUUAUAGUGUAAAAGAAAAUCACGGAAUUUUACCAAAGUUAAAGAGCAACAAAGUCAACGUGUUUCAAAAAAGCAAUAACUGAAUAUACAAAAUGGCGCGAAAUAUCAGUAAACUACGGUGUAUGAAGUGGCAAUGGUGUAAAAAAACAAUGAUGACUUUAACAAGAUAAUGAUGACAACAAAAAGUUGCUAUGAAAAAAAUUGACUGACGCAGAGGGGUUGUUCCAAGGUACCAAUUUGAAAAAGUAAAAAAAUAAUGGCACUGAGACAGACACGUAAAAAUAGCUUCUCUAAUCAAAACAAGACGUAUGAUAUACGCAAACAACCUCGCGAAUAAAGUUUACAAAAAGCUGUCUAUCAAAUUGGGAUUUUUGUUACGAAGUUAGACACGACAUAUUUUACUAUUCAGAUACACAAUAAUAUUUGUUACACACUUAUUUUUCAAAAUUGAUUUGUGAGACCUUCCUGAACGGAAAAUUCCUCGAACUUUUAAUUUUCGAUGGGUCCGUCUUGGGUGAACCGACUGACAGAAAGAAGAAAGACCACAAAUCCACAAACCCCAAAAUUUGCGAAAUUCAUUAAUUCAGUUAAUUCUGCCUACAUUCACUUUUAAAAUGUUUGGUGGAAACACCUUUAUUUACUAGUUAGUUAAACAAGUGUUUUGAACACUUGUCUUAUCUUUUUAAAAAAAAAAAAAAAAAAAGUAAAAAUAGUUACCAAGAUGAGAUUCGCACACACGACGACUCCCGUGUCGGUGCUCAGAGAGGCAAAAAUUUCCAUUCUUGUAGGACACAGUUGCGUUUUAAUACAAGCUCACGAGCUUGUAACAAUAUGAAAAGUAUUGUCUUGAAGGAGUUGACCACGAUGGAUUUAAAAAAUUUCGUAUUAAUGAGUUCAUUUGUAAGUUGGUUUUAUGUAAAUAGGGGCAUUUAAAAAGUAUGUCAGCUCAAAUAUUCACCAUAUCUGACCACCUCUCCCCCCUUGUUUGCUCAAGUUCACUUUUGGCAUUGCACCCGCACAACCAUAAACAAUAAAUGUCAUAUCAUGUCAAGGAAAAUAAAAGGAACAUUUAUUUUUUAAAAAGCGAAUGUACACAAAACAAAUAUAUCCUUCUUCGUUUUUGUUUGUUAUACUACAUGACACCCUCCCUCCUCUGUAGGCAAACAUACUUUUUCAAUGACCCGCUCUCAGAUUCAGUUCUUGCGACAAUUGUAUGUGAAAAAAGUUGCUGUGGGUGCUAAAAUUAUAGUAUAUAGUUUUUCAGUAUUUUUUUUGUUUCGGGAGAGCGUAGCGUAUCCCGUUUUAAUUACAGCCGCGACUCCUCCUCCUCCUACUACUACUCCGCGGAUUUCGACAGGCGGUCGGGCGCACUUAUGUGGGCGUAAGGCGUUUUUUGGAUAAGUUGCCGGAAUCCGAAAAUUGAACGCUUCUGAAGGUCCCUUUGAAACCAUUAGUAGCUGAAGUUUGUGUGGUCUUGAAAUGUCACGAAAUCUUGGAAAUCAUUGCUGAUUUUUUAAUUAUUCUAUGCAACGUAUUUUCUCUCAAUCCAUUUAAAGAUUGUGAGAAUCUUAUUCUGUUUAUAUUUUGCUCGGAUAUUGACAUAUCUGGGAACAGUAUUUGUCUUGCGAGUGCUUUAAAGCUGAGAUAAGGACUAUCUGGGGACAGUACUUUUUCUCAGG